UACGGAGGGUGCAAGCGUUAUCCGGAUUUACUGGGUUUAAAGGGUGCGUAGGCGGGUUGGGAAGUCAGUGGUGAAAUACUUUCGCUUAACGAAGGAACUGCCAUUGAUACUAUCAAUCUUGAAUGUAGUGGAGGUAGGCGGAAUGCGUCAUGUAGCGGUGAAAUGCUUAGAUAUGACGCAGAACACCAAUUGCGAAGGCAGCUUGCUGCACUACUAUUGACACUGAGGCACGAAAGCGUGGGGAUCAAACAGG
This 253-nucleotide ribosomal RNA is filed under the name uncultured bacterium. RNAcentral's name for it is "partial 16S ribosomal RNA". It matches the Rfam family "Bacterial small subunit ribosomal RNA", at positions 524 to 776 of the family's 1533-position model. The record is from RNAcentral.